GACGAACGCUGGCGGCGUGCCUAAUACAUGCAAGUAGGACGCAGUUGCGAACGGGUGAGUAACGCGUAGGUGACUACCUGGUAGAGGGGGGUAACUAGUGGAAACGAUCGCAAAUACCGCAUACUCGUGGAUGGACCUGCGGUGUAUUAGCUAGUAGGUUGGGUAAUUGCCUACCUAGGCAACGACACAUUGCCGACCUUGGAGGGUGAUCGGCCACACUGGGACCUGGACACGGCCCAGACUCCUACGGGAGGCAGCAGUAGGGAAUCUUCGGCCAUGGGGGGAAACCUGACCGAGCAACGCCGCGUGAGGGAAGAAGGUUUUCGGAUCGUAAAGCUCUGUUGUGAAGGGAGCGGUACUUACCCAGAAAGGGACGGCUAACUACGUGCCAGCAGCCGCGGUAAUAC
Molecule: ribosomal RNA, 407 nt
Filed under: uncultured bacterium
Lineage: Bacteria
Description: partial 16S ribosomal RNA
Rfam family: Bacterial small subunit ribosomal RNA
Source: RNAcentral